UUAGUUUUUGAAGUAUGGCCUGCCCGCUGACGUUGAGUUGAAGGGCCGCGGUAUUUUGACCGUGCAAAGGUAGCAUAAUCAUUAGUUCUUUAAUUGUGAUCUGGAAUGAAUGGCUUGACGAGACACAAGCUGUCUUAAUGUUGAAUGUUUUAUUGAAUUUGGUCUUUGAGUUAAAAUUCUUAGAUGUUUUUAUGGGACGAGAAGACCCUAUAGAGUUUAACAUUUGGUUUACUUAUUUGUUGUUGUUUGUUUGUUUUGUUGGUAAGUGGACUUUUUGUUUUGUUGGGGUGAUGAGAGGAAUGAUUUAACUCCUCUUGGUUUUGGUUAUAUUGAUUUAUAUUUAUUUGAUCCAUUUAUUUUGAUUAUAAGACUAAAUUACCUUAGGGAUAACAGCGUUAUCUUCCUUGAGAGUUCUUAUCGGCAGGGGGGUUUGCGACCUCGAUGUUGGAUUAAG
Molecule: ribosomal RNA, 454 nt
Filed under: Coptotermes lacteus (milk termite)
Lineage: Eukaryota; Metazoa; Arthropoda; Insecta; Blattodea; Rhinotermitidae
Also listed under: 1 other name
Description: partial 16S ribosomal RNA
Rfam family: Bacterial large subunit ribosomal RNA
Source: RNAcentral